Molecule: ribosomal RNA, 385 nt
Filed under: uncultured bacterium
Lineage: Bacteria
Description: bacterial SSU rRNA
Rfam family: Bacterial small subunit ribosomal RNA
Source: RNAcentral
AUUGAACGCUGGCGGCAUGCCUUACACAUGCAAGUCGAACGGCAGCGGACCUUCGGGUGCCGGCGAGUGGCGAACGGGUGAGUAAUAUAUCGGAACGUACCUUUCAGUGGGGGAUAACGUAGCGAAAGUUACGCUAAUACCGCAUAUUCUGUGAGCAGGAAAGCAGGGGAUCGCAAGACCUUGCGCUGAUUGAGCGGCCGAUAUCAGAUUAGCUAGUUGGUGAGGUAAAGGCUCACCAAGGCGACGAUCUGUAGCGGGUCUGAGAGGAUGAUCCGCCACGCUGGAACUGAGACACGGUCCAGACUCCUACGGGAGGCAGCAGUGGGGAAUUUUGGACAAUGGGCGCAAGCCUGAUCCAGCCAUGCCGCGUGAGUGAAGAAGGCCU